UACGUAGGCAGCGAGCGUUGUUCGGAGUUACUGGGCGUAAAGGGUGCGUAGGCGGUUGUUUAAGUUUGGUGUGAAAUCUCCCCGGCUCAACUGGGAGGGGUGCGCCCGAAUACUGAAUGACUAGAGUGCGGGAGAGGAUAGUGGAAUUCCUGGUGUAGCGGUGAAAUGCGUAGAUAUCAGGAGGAACACCGGUGGUGUAGACGGCUAUCUGGACCGUAACUGACGCUGAGGCACGAAAGCGUGGGUAGCAAACAGG
Molecule: ribosomal RNA, 256 nt
Filed under: uncultured bacterium
Lineage: Bacteria
Description: partial 16S ribosomal RNA
Rfam family: Bacterial small subunit ribosomal RNA
Source: RNAcentral